AUGCCCGCAAAAGAUUUGGAGGAGAUUAAAAGUCAGAUUAAGGAGUUACUGGAUAAAGGAUACAUUCGCCCAAGUUCUUCACCUUGGGGAUCACCAGUACUUCUACUGGAGAAGAAGGACGGAUCGUUAAGGAUGGUUGUUGAUUAUCGAGGAUUAAAUGCGGUAACCAUCAAGAAUAAGUACCCACUGCCAAUGAUCAAUGAUCUGUUUGACCGACUACAAGGAGCAAAGGUGUUUUCCAAGAUCGAUUUGCGAUCAGGAUACCAUCAGUUGAAGAUUCGAGAACAGGAUAUACCCAAGACAGCUUUUACCAGUAGGUAUGGGCUGUAUGAGUAUACCGUUAUGUCAUUUGGUCUGACUAACGCACCUGCAUAUUUCAUGAACAUGAUGAACAAAGUAUUUAUGGAGUUUCUGGAUAAGUUCGUCAUGGUGUUCAUUGAUGACAUCUUGGUCUACUCGAAGAACGAAGAGGAGCAUAAGGAGCACUUGCGUUUGGUAUUGGAGAAGCUCAGAGAACACCAAUUAUAUGCCAAGUUUAGCAAAUGUGGGUUCUGGUUG
RNAcentral lists this ribosomal RNA (558 nucleotides) under Triticum aestivum (bread wheat). RNAcentral's name for it is "partial small subunit ribosomal RNA". The record is from RNAcentral. Lineage: Eukaryota; Viridiplantae; Streptophyta; Magnoliopsida; Poales; Poaceae.